This is a long non-coding RNA of Equus caballus (horse), 1565 nucleotides long. NCBI's taxonomy places the organism in Eukaryota, Metazoa, Chordata, Mammalia, Perissodactyla, Equidae. The record is from Ensembl.
GUGCACGUCUGUGUAGAAACAGCUACACUUUGAUCUUUGCCAACAUCACUCAGUCCCAACUUUGAAAAAGAAAAUCCUUUUUCAUUAACAUCCAACUGGCUUUAAGGAGGUCAAACUCAAGAUUUCCUUUUACCAACUGAGAAUCUUCCAGUUUAGCCUUUGACUAGAAGGCUCUCUGGGAAACCUUUCCCUCUGAGAAAUCUAGUGAGUAAAUUCCUGCCAUGGUGUCAUGUUCAUGGAUUUCACACUGUCCUUCUGCGCCCUGUCCAGCAGCCCUCCGAGGAGAGAGCCAGACUUCUGGACCACGAGUGUCUUUCCCUCCUCUGGCUGCUUAGUCAUCUCCCAAGUCAUUUGGCAGUUGUCUGUGGCCCCUUCAAAAUGUUUCCAUUUAUGGUUAGAAUUUGGUCUUCCCAGUUUGGUCACACAGAUGGGAAAACUUAAAUGAAAGACAGCAUCACAGAGCUUCUCUCAAGAGCAGGCAGAGGAAGAGGCUGGAGCUGGUAGCAGAAGGGGCUCCACGGUGACUGUGACCAAACAGACCACAGCACUGCUGAGGGGGUGGCCAGGGGAAGGGCCCACCGCCCACCAGGAGGUCUGCCUGCGGCUCUGCUCCUCCCUGGCACACAUCAUGGACUCCCAUUAUACAUGGAACACGUGCCUGGUGGGGAUCGAUGCCACCAUGGGGCCUGGGAUUAUUUGCAUCUUUGCUGGAAAGAGCCUUCACACCAACAUGAAACUUCAAGGACGCUAGAACGUCAGCGCCUGCCUGAGCGCCCCCAUCCUUCAGUGUGUCUGUGGACAGGGCUUGCGGUUCUAUGAAGAUAUGGCAGAAAGUAUUUUGGAGGAGAAAAGCAAUCCAGAACUGUCUGCAGGUCCUGCUGCCAUGGCCCUCUUCACUGGAUGCUGGCUCUUCAACCACAUAUGUAAACUCAGGGUAAAUCUUUCUCCCUUCAUCUGGCUGUGAAGGAAUUCUGACAGAAGCGUACCUCUCGGACAGGGUCCAUCUCAGCUCUAACAUGCCUGAAAGCAGUGAACCGCUUAAACAGAGACUUCCUUCAAAAACACUGAAUAAAGAAAAUCCCUGGACUUAAUAAAAAUUGCUGCCAUUCGAAAACAAAGAGACACGAGGUGCUGGUUCAUGUCCUUCAUCAGGCAGAUGCCAAGAUAGGAUUAGCUGUGCAGAUGUCAUGGGGAAACAUCUGUGAAAGACAAAGGGGAGGGAGCUGGGAAGGCAUGGGGGAGAAAGGAGGAUGGGCAGGAAGUCUGGGACUGCUGCACAGGCCAUGGAAGGUUCUGGAGCCCAAGUCACCCCUUCGUGGCGUCCUGUGUGUUGCAGGAGUGACCUGCGUUAGUGUCCCCCCAGCUGAGUCUUGGGCAGGAGCAUCUCCUGUGAAGUGUGGCCCACGUGCACAUGGUGGUCCAAGAAGGGCACCACUGGGGCUGUCACUCACCUCUGCUACCCCAGCUGGCACUUCGUGGCUGCUGGCUUUGCACUGCACGGAUCCACUUCUCCACUCAGGCCUGGCGAGCAGCUCCUCUGGGAUUCCCACAGGCCUCUCUUCCAG